Molecule: ribosomal RNA, 430 nt
Filed under: uncultured bacterium
Lineage: Bacteria
Description: bacterial SSU rRNA
Rfam family: Bacterial small subunit ribosomal RNA
Source: RNAcentral
AGGCAGCAGUGGGGAAUAUUGGGCAAUGGGGGAAACCCUGACCCAGCAACGCCGCGUGAAGGAUGAAGGCUUUCGGGUUGUAAACUUCUUUGAUCGGGGACGAAAUUGACGGUACCCGAAGAACAAGCCACGGCUAACUACGUGCCAGCAGCCGCGGUAAUACGUAGGUGGCAAGCGUUAUCCGGAAUUACUGGGCGUAAAGGGCGUGUAGGCGGGAAGACAAGUCAGGAGUGAAAUCCCAGGGCUCAACCCUGGAGCUGCUUCUGAAACUGUUUUUCUUGAGUAUCGGAGAGGAAAGUGGAAUUCCCAGUGUAGCGGUGAAAUGCGUAGAGAUUGGGAGGAACACCAGUGGCGAAGGCGGCUUUCUGGACGAUUACUGACGCUGAGGCGCGAAAGCGUGGGGAGCAAACAGGAUUAGAUACCCUGGUAG